AUGUUGAACGCAUUGUCUUUUUUAUGUUUAAACCUUUAUGGAAAUAAAUCACUAACAGCUGAAGCUGCUCCAAUAAAACAUGAUUAAAGUGAAAAUUAAACUCAACACAUUUAUACACAACUAGUUUUCAUCCCUGAGGAGAUCAUUUCAACAUUACUAAAGAAGAACAUUUCUGACAUUAAAGACACAA
Sander lucioperca (pikeperch) is the source of this 190-nucleotide long non-coding RNA. RefSeq lists it as uncharacterized. The transcript has 2 exons. The record is from RefSeq and is a predicted model, not a curated record. NCBI's taxonomy places the organism in Eukaryota, Metazoa, Chordata, Actinopteri, Perciformes, Percidae.